UGGAUAAGACAUGCAAGUCGAACGCUCAUAUUUUGGCAGCAAUGUCAGGAUGUGGGAGUGGCGCAAGGGUGCGUAACACGUGGGUAAUUUGCCGUGAAGAUGGGGAUAACUUGCUGAAAGGCGAGCUAAUACCGAAUGUGGUUGGGGAGGGGCAUCCUUUUUCAACUGAAGCUGGGGACCGCAAGGCCUGGCGCUUCACGAUAAGCCCGCGGCCUAUCAGCUAGUUGGUGAGGUAACGGCUCACCAAGGCUAAGACGGGUAGCUGGUCUGAGAGGACGACCAGCCACACUGGAACUGAGAGACGGUCCAGACACCUACGGGUGGCAGCAGUCGAGAAUUUUUCUCAAUGGGCGCAAGCCUGAAGGAGCGACGCCGCGUGGGGGAUGAAGGGCUUCGGUCCGUAAACCCC
RNAcentral lists this ribosomal RNA (409 nucleotides) under uncultured organism. RNAcentral describes it as "bacterial SSU rRNA". It matches the Rfam family "Bacterial small subunit ribosomal RNA", at positions 45 to 433 of the family's 1533-position model. The record is from RNAcentral.